Empidonax traillii (willow flycatcher) is the source of this 174-nucleotide long non-coding RNA. RefSeq lists it as uncharacterized. NCBI's taxonomy places the organism in Eukaryota, Metazoa, Chordata, Aves, Passeriformes, Tyrannidae. The transcript has 3 exons. The record is from RefSeq and is a predicted model, not a curated record.
GGGAAGAAGAAAAAGCAUGGAGGCAAACAUUGUUUCUUAGUGGGAGAUGACCCAACAAGAAGCUUUUCUGAACUUUGAGGAAGACACAUGACCCAGUAGUCUGAGGAAAAAGUUGGGCGCCAGGAACUCCUGGACUCUAAUCCCAGCUCUGACACUCCCUUCUCUGGCCCCAGG